Molecule: ribosomal RNA, 465 nt
Filed under: uncultured bacterium
Lineage: Bacteria
Description: partial 16S ribosomal RNA
Rfam family: Bacterial small subunit ribosomal RNA
Source: RNAcentral
GACGAACGCUGGCGGUGUGCUUAACACAUGCAAGUCGAACGGUAAGGCCCUUUCGGGGGUACACGAGUGGCGAACGGGUGAGUAACACGUGAGUAACCUGCCCUCAGCUCUUGGAUAACAGUCGGAAACGGUUGCUAAUACUGGAUAUGAGCCUGCAAGGCAUCUUGUGGGUUGGAAAGAUUUUUUGGUUGGGGAUGGACUCGCGGCCUAUCAGCUUGUUGGUGAGGUAGUGGCUCACCAAGGCUUCGACGGGUAGCCGGCCUGAGAGGGCGACCGGCCACAUUGGGACUGAGAUACGGCCCAAACUCCUACGGGAGGCAGCAGUGGGGAAUAUUGCACAAUGGACGGAAGUCUGAUGCAGCAACGCCGCGGGCGGGAUGACGGGCUUCGGGUUGGAAACCGCGUUCAAUUGUGACGAAGCUUUUUGUGACGGUAGCAGUAGAAGAAGCACCGGCUAACUACGUG